This 129-nucleotide non-coding RNA is filed under the name human gut metagenome. RNAcentral describes it as "pemK RNA". It matches the Rfam family "pemK RNA". The record is from RNAcentral.
ACAAUGAUACUUCCGUCCAGUCACAGUCCGUACCUCUCAUUAAGCAACUAUGGCACAAACAAAGUUACUAAAUGAUGUCGCAGGCAAUGAGGGCGGCCGUGGGAGAUCCUCACGGUGGUUAAUCCAAUG